AAACUUAGGUUAAAUAAACCAAUUAAAUUUCAAAUUUAAUAAUGAGAGAAUCAGUUUUUAGUUUUACCGAGAACAAAGUAAUUUUCUUUUUGCAUUAUGAGGUUUUAAAAAUCUUAAAUAUUUUAGAGCUCUAAGAUUUCAUUUUUUAGUUAUUGUCUAUACCCGUUUUAAAGGGUUGAAUAAAAUAACUUAAAGCAGGAUAUCUGAUAUUGAAAUUUUGUAGUUGUGGUUUAUCAAAUUCAUUUUGAAGAAAAGGUUUUCUAAGUAUCAAGGAGGGAUUAGCUUUCUUGAAUUAAAAUCUUAAAAUAAUAUCCCUAGUAGAAUGUAAUAAUUCAAGGCUAAAUAAAAUUUAUGUCUAUCUACCACAUCAAAACUAACUUAAAAAAUUAAAUCUUUAGUAAAAAUUCAGUGAAACCCAAUAUUAGAACAGUUUUAAGUGUUAGAAAAUUUUUAGCAGUCGUGGAACUUGGUUUAGGUUAAUCUGUUUGCCAAAUACUUAGGAGAAUAAUCUCUAAAGCUCUGCCCGGUGAUAAAAAUUAAACGGCUUGACAAGGUAGCAAAAUCAAUUGUUCUUUAAUUGAGAACCAGAAUGAACGGCUUAAUUAACUUAAAAUAUCAGACCUGUUUCGUUUAAAUUAAUAUUCUGAGUGCAAAUACUUAGACUAAAUUCAGGGACGAGAAGACCCUAAAAUCUUAUUUACUUAUUUAGAUUAUUAUAAAAAAUUAAUUGGUUGGGGCAACCUAAUAAAUGUAAAUACUUUUUAUAGUCUAAACUUGAACUCUGCAACUUAUUACCAAGAUACUUUAGGGAUAACAGCAUUAAGGGCCUUGGAGUUCAUAUCUACUGUGCCUGAAUGACCUCGAUGUUGAAUUAAGAAACCUUCUAAGAGAAAAAGCCUAGAAGUUCAGUCUGUUCGACUGGUAUUUUCUUACAUGAUUUGAGUUAAGAUCGACGUAAGUCAGAUUGGUUUCUAUCUUGAAUUUUCUUUGAUUUUGAUUAGUACGAAAGGAAUUUAAAAA
Molecule: ribosomal RNA, 1020 nt
Filed under: Tigriopus californicus
Lineage: Eukaryota; Metazoa; Arthropoda; Copepoda; Harpacticoida; Harpacticidae
Description: large subunit ribosomal RNA
Source: RNAcentral